UAAUUCUAUAAAUUUUCUUCCAAAAAUUCUGUUCGUAGAUCAUAUCGCGAUAUCCCAUGAUCAAACAUCUACAAUCCUAUACAGAAUCAAUUUCAAUAAUUAGAAAGAAUACGAAUGCCAUAUUUCAAUGGUUUAGAUUGGGUCCGAUCAUCUAAUUUCAUUUAAUCAAAAUCUAAUUAGGACCUAAACGAUCCAAAGUUUGACUAUCAGAUCAAAUCGGAUAAGAAGUGAUAGGACCGAAGUUUCUUCAUCGCUUUCAUAAAAUCAAGUAGAGA
Molecule: long non-coding RNA, 275 nt
Filed under: Elaeis guineensis (African oil palm)
Lineage: Eukaryota; Viridiplantae; Streptophyta; Magnoliopsida; Arecales; Arecaceae
Description: long non-coding RNA (EGUI_LNC009187)
Source: RNAcentral